RNAcentral lists this ribosomal RNA (403 nucleotides) under uncultured bacterium. RNAcentral describes it as "partial 16S ribosomal RNA". It matches the Rfam family "Bacterial small subunit ribosomal RNA", at positions 30 to 526 of the family's 1533-position model. The record is from RNAcentral.
AUUGAACGCUGGCGGCAGGCCUAACACAUGCAAGUCGAGCGAGCGGCGGACGGGUGAGUAAUGUAUGGGGACUGCCCGAUAGAGGGGGAUAACAACUGGAAACGGUUGCUAAUACAGCAUACUAUCGGAUAAUCCAUAUGUGAUUAGCUAGUAGGUGAGGUAAUGGCCCACAUCGGCGACGAUCCCUAGCUGGUCUGAGAGGAUGAUCAGCCAAACAGGGACUGAGACACGGCCCAGACUCCUACGGAGGCAGCAGUGGGGAAUAUUGCACAAUGGGCGCAAGCCUGAUGCAGGCAUGCCGCGUGUAUGAAGAAGGCCCUAGGGUGGUAGAGUACUUUCAUUCGGGAGGCGUUAGCGGCAGAAGGAGCACCGGCUAACUCCGUGCCAGCAGCCGCGGUGAUUC